UUGGUGCUUGCACCGAGCGGAUGAGUUGCGAACGGGUGAGUAACGCGUAGGUAACCUGCCUGGUAGCGGGGGAUAACUAUUGGAAACGAUAGCUAAUACCGCAUAAUAGUAGAUGUUGCAUGACAUUUGCUUAAAAGGUGCAAUUGCAUCACUACCAGAUGGACCUGCGUUGUAUUAGCUAGUUGGUGAGGUAACGGCUCACCAAGGCGACGAUACAUAGCCGACCUGAGAGGGUGAUCGGCCACACUGGGACUGAGACACGGCCCAGACUCCUACGGGAGGCAGCAGUAGGGAAUCUUCGGCAAUGGACGGAAGUCUGACCGAGCAACGCCGCGUGAGUGAAGAAGGUUUUCGGAUCGUAAAGCUCUGUUGUAAGAGAAGAACGAGUGUGAGAGUGGAAAGUUCACACUGUGACGGUAUCUUACCAGAAAGGGACGGCUAACUACGUGCCAGCAGCCGCGGUAAUACGUAGGUCCCGAGCGUUGUCCGGAUUUAUUGGGCGUAAAGCGAGCGCAGGCGGUUAGAUAAGUCUGAAGUUAAAGGCUGUGGCUUAACCAUAGUACGCUUUGGAAACUGUUUAACUUGAGUGCAAGAGGGGAGAGUGGAAUUCCAUGU
This 615-nucleotide ribosomal RNA is filed under the name Listeria monocytogenes. Its description in RNAcentral is "bacterial SSU rRNA". It matches the Rfam family "Bacterial small subunit ribosomal RNA", at positions 73 to 674 of the family's 1533-position model. Lineage: Bacteria; Bacillati; Bacillota; Bacilli; Caryophanales; Listeriaceae. The record is from RNAcentral.